This 417-nucleotide ribosomal RNA is filed under the name uncultured bacterium. RNAcentral's name for it is "partial 16S ribosomal RNA". It matches the Rfam family "Bacterial small subunit ribosomal RNA", at positions 360 to 774 of the family's 1533-position model. The record is from RNAcentral.
AAUAUUGGUCAAUGGGCGGGAGCCUGAACCAGCCAUGCCGCGUGCGGGACGAAGGCCCUAUGGGUCGUAAACCGCUUUUACACGGGAACAACCGCAGCUACGAGUAGCUGCCUGAGGGUACCGUGGGAAUAAGGAACGGCUAACUCCUGGCCAGCAGCCGCGGUAAUACGGAGGAUCCGAGCGUUAUCCGGAAUUAUUGGGUUUAAAGGGUGCGUAGGCGGCACUUUAAGUCAGCGGUGAAAGUUUUUGGCUUAACCAAAAAAUUGCCGUUGAUACUGUAGGGCUUGAAUUUUUGUGAAGUAACUAGAAUAUGUAGUGUAGCGGUGAAAUGCUUAGAUAUUACAUGGAAUACCGAUUGCGAAGGCAGGUCACUAACAAACGAUUGACGCUGAUGGACGAAAGCGUGGGUAGCGAACA